CCUUUUUGAUGAGAUUUGGAAAUUUCACU
This 29-nucleotide non-coding RNA is filed under the name Mus musculus (house mouse). The record is from RNAcentral. Lineage: Eukaryota; Metazoa; Chordata; Mammalia; Rodentia; Muridae.